GUGGCCUAGUUGUUAGAGCGUCCGCCUCAGAAGCGGGAGGUCGCGGGUUCGGAUCCCGGUCGAGUCA
Molecule: non-coding RNA, 67 nt
Organism: Potamilus streckersoni
Lineage: Eukaryota; Metazoa; Mollusca; Bivalvia; Unionida; Unionidae
Source: the annotation of a GenBank genome assembly